UCUCUCAUCAUUGAUGUUUUUAUCUUUCCUUCUCCCUUCCUCUCUGAAAUCAAUAAAAUAUAUAUUUUUUUAAAGUGUUUCCUUUCAAGAAUAAAAAGUAUUUAUACUUAAUGUACUUUACAUUCCACUUUAACUUAUAACUAUUGGAGUGGUUAACCUAACAUGUAGCAUAUUUGAAUCUAAUAAAUAUGUCUUUCUGAUGGUGAUAACAUUCCCUCUACUUCUGUUCCUAGGAAAAAAUAUACUAGCUUCUUUUUAUCUUGAUUCAGUUUUAAAUUUACAUAUUUGAGAUCCUAUAUGGGCGUUUCUGUAAGUACCAUGAAGAUUAUGUAUUAUUUAGCAUACCAUUUAUAAAGAAACAACCUAGAACCAGAAUCAAUAAAAUAAGUCUUCAUGGUAAAGAGGGCAUGUUUUCAGACUGACCACAGUGAUUCUGGCACAUGUGAAGUACAGCACUACAUGGGAGUCUAAAUGAAAUUUACUGUAUUUCUUGACUUUUGUUAUUUUAACUAAAAAUAAUUCUUAACUAAUUUUCACCAACCUGACUUUUGUACAAUUUUGAAUAGACCAAAGGACUUCAAGUUUAACAAAGUAAUUAUCAGAAAAAAUAGCCCAAAUGUUGAUUUUAUUUUCCAUAAGUUGCUUUCUCAUACAUGGUUAACUCAUUGAAAAGGGUAUAAUGUGUUAAGCUAAAUAUGCCUUGAGUUUUUCCAUAGAAAUAAACCACACAGAUAAAAUGAUGGUUAUUGUCUUCUAAGAAUUUCUGGCUUUACCUUUUCCAAUUAUGACUUAACUCAUAGUGUACAGUCUGUAGUAGUGACUUGGAAGUUAUUCUGGACCUAGACUAGUGAUCCUUCUUGCCCUGUUUUGUGUGGGUUCUGUGGUGAUUAACUUCCUGAGUUCCCACUCAGGUUUUGAACAUAAAAUGACCACUGUGAUACCUCCUCAGCAUUGCUUCUCAGUUUGACUGCUACUAGUUUGGUUUUUAAGAGAUUCAAAAGGGACCUAAUUCAAAUUAACAGAGAUGCCACCUCUCUUUCAAUUUAGAAUAGGAUUCUUCUUGGAGAUAUUGAUGAUGAAGGCUUUUUUGUUCUUUUCCAAGAGAUACAUAUGGUGGGUUGAGCUCCAUGGACCUAGGGUGAGCAGGCUAUGGAGCUGCAGAUGCUGCUUGUCAUGGCUGCUCCCCCAGGUGCAGCUUGUCCACGUAGGAAACUUGUUUCAGGCUAGCAUUGUCAGAGCUGAGGUAGGAGGAAGGAAGCCCGGGGCAGAAAUAGCCAGUUGUCUCAGGCUGGAACCAUUGUGAGCAGCAGGUACUGUACUUCGUUCCAUAUUCUCCUUUGCAGGGGAAUUCUUUCUUUCCUUUUUUUUUUUUUUUUUUUUUUUUUUAAGUAAAUCAAGAUUGCAUUUGGGAGUGGGAUAUCUAAAUCUAAAGAAAGAUAAGAUUUCAUUUCUUCUUCCCUUUAAGAAAGUAAUUUUGAAAAGCAUGUUUCUAGUUUAUGUUUCUGUUAAACUGUGAGCCUGAAUACAUUAUAGUAAGCCUUGUUGCCCUUGGGUCUCAAGAGUCUGGAGGAGGUUACUGUCCUUACAAGUGAACUCAUUAGACAACUCCUGAACCAGCUGUUUUAAUUAGGUCACACACCAAUCCCGCUGAAGGGUGCCAAGGUGACUGCAACACUGGAGACCAGAGUGGCAGUUGGCUGAUACCAACCUACUGAGCUACUAACCUCUCCUGCUGACCAGUGUUAUGGGGUGUUCCUUUAAUCCCACUUAUGUUGAGGAGAGUAGCCAUUUAAUUGUUUCUUAUAGCUAGAUGUUGCUAGUUCAGAUUGGUGUUAGGGGAAGAGGUUUGACUGUCAGAAAACAGUGGAAAGGUGGGUGGUCCAUUUAUUAACACGUCUUUCUGGCCAUACUAGAGAGAUUGUGUGCUCUCUGCUCUAUGUUAUGAUAGCUAGGUAGGUCAGGGCUCCUUUUCAGUUUAUACAUCUAUGAGGCAAAUUUCAGGAUUUCUAUUAAAGUUACUAUACAUUAAAUUUGUAUUUGUGGGGGAAAACCUAAUCCAUUCCUUUAGCAUAGCAUUUAAAAUAUAAAUAUAAAAAAAUACACACACGCACACACAGCAAGAGAGAGAGAAAUGUAUGAAUUUAAGGACCAUAGUUACUAAAACUGUGUUUUGUUACUAAAAGUAAAAAAAACAAAAUUAAUUUACUGACCCUGUUUAGUAUCUUUUUACAUUUCCAGUCUGUGUAAAUAUGCUAGCUUACUUAGUUCAUAUUGUCUCAGAUUUUUGCAAGAGUUAAUUAUAAAAUAUGUGGGUAGUUAAACAGUGAUUACUUAUUUAAAA
Long non-coding RNA from Pipistrellus kuhlii (Kuhl's pipistrelle), 2341 nucleotides. RefSeq lists it as uncharacterized. NCBI's taxonomy places the organism in Eukaryota, Metazoa, Chordata, Mammalia, Chiroptera, Vespertilionidae. The record is from RefSeq and is a predicted model, not a curated record. The transcript is spliced from 2 exons.